This 253-nucleotide ribosomal RNA is filed under the name uncultured bacterium. Its description in RNAcentral is "partial 16S ribosomal RNA". It matches the Rfam family "Bacterial small subunit ribosomal RNA", at positions 524 to 776 of the family's 1533-position model. The record is from RNAcentral.
UACGUAGGGGGCAAGCGUUGUCCGGAUUUAUUGGGCGUAAAGAGCGUGUAGGCGGCCUGAAAGGUCAGCUGUGAAAACUCGAGGCUCAACCUCGAGACGUCGGUUGAAACCAUCUGGCUAGAGUCCGGAAGAGGAGUGUGGAAUUCCCGGUGUAGCGGUGAAAUGCGCAGAUAUCGGGAAGAACACCCGUGGCGAAGGCGGCACUCUGGGACGGUACUGACGCUGAGACGCGAAAGCGUGGGGAGCAAAUGGG